This is a long non-coding RNA of Pecten maximus, 503 nucleotides long. RefSeq lists it as uncharacterized. The record is from RefSeq and is a predicted model, not a curated record. The transcript has 3 exons. NCBI's taxonomy places the organism in Eukaryota, Metazoa, Mollusca, Bivalvia, Pectinida, Pectinidae.
CAUUGGACAUGUUAAGUACUACAUCAAUGAUGGAAAAUUUGGAUCAUUCAGUGCGAUAGAUGACGACAAGAAUAUAUUAGUAAUGUCACCAGUCCAUGAAAAGGCCAGAGCGGGAAGAUAUAACAGUAGCAUGUGGGGCCCGACAUGUGCUGGGACGGAUUGCCUAGCAACAGACACCUCUUUACCGCUGAUGAAGGUUGACGAGUGGGUAUAUAUCAGUUACGCAGGAGCCUAUACAUUCAGCCGUUCAACUAACUUCAACACGAUGCCAAAGCCACAAUUCUAUUACUUCUGUUCACGUAAUGUUUGGCGUAUGAUCACCGACAAGGUUCCCUGUGUUUGACUGGUGGCGUGGUAAAGAAGGUUCAUACUGCCCAGCUCGCAUGUCAUUGUGGUAUAAUCAAUAUCGCUACCGACUAGCUCGCUAAUCAUGGAGGGAUAACUAUUGAAAUAUGAACUCCUAGCUCACUGAUCAUUAGAGAUAACUACUAUUGGUAUACCCA